RNAcentral lists this long non-coding RNA (1582 nucleotides) under Haliotis rufescens (red abalone). RNAcentral's name for it is "uncharacterized LOC125372204". The record is from RNAcentral. Lineage: Eukaryota; Metazoa; Mollusca; Gastropoda; Lepetellida; Haliotidae.
GCUUUCUGUUGUCAUCCACCGUAACUAUCAUGUUGCGUGAUUAACACAGGUAUAAUUAGUAAGUCUUUGUUUGGAAAUUCAAUCAGCAAGUCGCAGACGUAGUUAUAGCAUGAGACUGCGUUUGUGCCAUCAGUAACUAUUUGCUUGAAGGGGUGUGUGAGUGAGUAUGGUUUUACGCCGCUUUUAGCAAUAUUCCGGUAAUAUCACGGCGGGGGAUACCAGAAAUGGGCUUCACACAUUGUACCCAUGUCGGGAAUUGAACCCGUCAAUGGCGAGCGAACGCUUUAACCACUAGGUUUCCCGACCGCCCCUUUGCUUGAAGGAAGGUAUUUGGUGUAUAUUAUAGAAUUUUCACUUCAUUUACUCGGCAGGUGCAACGAUGCUUCAGAUUGUUUUAAUAGAAUUCAGUUGUACAUUAAGUAUGAGGGCCCUUUCCAAAUACUGCCGCAUGUAUUACUGUAAAAACGCCAGUAGUCUACCUGAGCUUGGUUUCGUUGCUAGGAUUUGAUGUGUGUUCUUUGCUGUAAAUGUUGUGUAUUUUGUUUGCAACCUGUGCUAAUUCAUGACAGAGAGCAUGUUAUUGGGUUGAUAAAGGGACCAUGUCUGUCUCAGUGGCCCGUAUAAUCAGAUGCGACGCUUGCCAAAUAAUUCCAGGGGUCCACAAACGGUUUGGGACACAGUGGUGAUGUCGCCAAGCAGGAAUCUGUGACGUCAACAAUGAAGCAACGUCAUUGUUUAUUGUGUCCCCAUAAGUAAUGACAUCACAGAAUAGAUACGUCAACAAUCAGCUGACGUCAUAGACAAUCAGAUUAUCGGCAGUGUACGCUGCCGGAGGACGUGUUGCUUUCGGGAUGUAUGACAAAAGCAGGUUUUGUUGUGACAGGAACGGAAUUAGGCAGAGUGGCCCGUAUAAUCAGAUGCGACGCUUGCCAAAUAAUUCCAGGGGUCCACAAACGGUUUGGGACACAGUGGUGAUGUCGCCAAGCAGGAAUCUGUGACGUCAACAAUGAAGCAACGUCAUUGUUUAUUGUGUCCCCAUAAGUAAUGACAUCACAGAAUAGAUACGUCAACAAUCAGCUGACGUCAUAGACAAUCAGAUUAUCGGCAGUGUACGCUGCCGGAGGACGUGUUGCUUUCGGGAUGUAUGACAAAAGCAGGUUUUGUUGUGACAGGAACGGAAUUAGGCAGAGGUAAGUCAGAGCUAUAUUCUUUGAUGCGAAACCGUUUUCUUUCAAUAUUCAAACAGACCUUCGCGUUAUCCAGUGACGUGUGUUCACUGCAGACGACUGUUUAGAUUUGGCGAUUGUAUCCUAAAUUCCUCUGUCUAGUAAUUUAGUAUGACUAAUAGACAAAGCUUAUGGUGACGAGGAAAGUGUUCUUGGCAGCGUCGGCAUUGUGGUAGUAAAUGAAUGGGCUUGGUACGAGCGUUAAAUGUGUUUUUAAUUGAAUGUGAUUGGAUAACUAGUAUGUUGCCUUUUCAAGGUAAUGUACAGAGUUAACGUUCGGAUUUGUAUAGUGACUGUUGGUUGCUGUCACAUAAUAUGACUUGAAUGCGUGUGCCUAGAUGAGAUCGCGUAGUUGU